Molecule: non-coding RNA, 73 nt
Organism: Stegodyphus mimosarum
Lineage: Eukaryota; Metazoa; Arthropoda; Arachnida; Araneae; Eresidae
Source: Rfam
GCCUUCGUGGUGUUGUGGUCAGCAUGCUCGACGCGUAACCGAGAGGUCCGAGGUUCGAUUCCCGGCUAAGGCA